AUUGAACGCUGGCGGCAUGCCUUACACAUGCAAGUCGAACGGUAACAGGUCUUCGGAUGCUGACGAGUGGCGAACGGGUGAGUAAUACAUCGGAACGUGCCCGAUCGUGGGGGAUAACGAGGCGAAAGCUUUGCUAAUACCACAUACGAUCUACGGAUGAAAGCGGGGGAUCUUCGGACCUCGCGCGGACGGAGCGGCCGAUGGCAGAUUAGGUAGUUGGUGGGAUAAAAGCUUACCAAGCCGACGAUCUGUAGCUGGUCCGAGAGGAUGAUCAGCCACACUGGGACUGAGACACGGCCCAGACUCCUACGGGAGGCAGCAGUGGGGAAUGUUGGACAAUGGGCGAAAGCCUGGUCCAGCCAUGCCGCGUGCAGGAUGAAGGCCUUCGGGUUGUAAACUGCUUUUGUACGGAACGAAAAGCCUCUUUCUAAUAAAGAGGGGUCAUGACGGUACCGUAAGAAUAAGCACCGGCUAACUACGUG
RNAcentral lists this ribosomal RNA (482 nucleotides) under uncultured bacterium. RNAcentral's name for it is "partial 16S ribosomal RNA". It matches the Rfam family "Bacterial small subunit ribosomal RNA", at positions 30 to 507 of the family's 1533-position model. The record is from RNAcentral.